AUCCCUCCCACUCCUCCCCUGCGUCCCUCCCCUAGCGCCCUCUUCUCCCCGCCCUCCCAUCGGCGCUCUCUCCCAUUUCCGUGCUGGCUUCCCCCUUGGCGGCGGCGGUCACGUCCACUUUUGAAAUCAUUCACACUCAUCCGAUGGGUCCUUUUCACUUAGCGCCAGGACUGGACCGUGAACUAAAAGACCAGCCUGAGGAUUCAGCCAGCCCUUACCCCCACUCCCAUCUGCCGAAAACGACACUCGAGCCUGCCAAAGUCUGACUAACUUAGUGUCCUCUGCCGGGGAUCUGCUUCUCAGGAGGGCACGCGUAUAGACACAGCAACCUGUCCAAGUAUCGGAACUCAGUGGAGAGAGGUGCAUAAGUGCAAGCUGGUGGCGGUGUGACUCCACUGCCUUGCAGUCUCCCGGAGGAAGCUUUCAGGCACUUCUAGGCAACUAAGCCCCACCCCCACCCCACCACACAGCAUCCUAACAAGUUAGAGUUGACUGCAUUUGCCCUGGGAUGUUGCCUGGUGCUCACCUUGGGCUUAUAAAGUUCUCAAAGCAGAGAUGGGGAUUAUGGUGUACCUGCCGAUUGCUCAUACAUGGUACCUUGCCUGCCCUUCAGGAGGCAAUCAACUCAUACUUACUCAGUAAGCAAAUGACACCAAAACCCUUCGAACUGUCUGUUUAGAUUGCACCACCAGUCAAGCAAUAAGUAAAAAUGGGCUGUUACAGAGUGUAUAUCUAAUUUGCACUCAUCUGUCUAUCCUUAGGCGACUUAAAAAUUACAUGCAUAGUUAAUGCUGUGACCUGCAUUUGCCUUGGUAUGCCAUAGCCAGGGGCUACAAAGCGAGAAAAAAAAUCAUGUCAACAGAAAACUGUCUGGAGUAAAACCCUGUGGAAGGGGGAAGCAGAAGACGGGACUUUUUUUUCUGUGUGUCAUGACAUGGAUUCCAUCUGUCACCUCCCUGAUGACGUCAUGGUGUGAAGUCAUGCCAAUUCCUUUGGAGUAUUUUGGAAAGGAGAUCAUUGCAAGCGUUCCAUAUAUGUGACAUCCUGAGAUGGAUGGGCAAGUAGGAUCUACAGGCAAGAUGCUAAUCUGGGAACCAGGAACCAAACAGGAAACAGAGGCACUGCUGACUGUGAUGAGCUCUUGCUGGAGAUCAGUUCCUGCUCUAGACUCUAAGUUGAUUUGUUUUCUUGUAUCAGAGGAAGAUAUGGUCAACUUCAGAGACAACUUUAUAACAGGACACUUCAAGCCCACUUCACCUGGAUUUUGAUAAAUCCCUGACUAGCAUUCUAGCCCUCAGUAGGGUCUAGACUGUUGGACCACUUGUUAAUUAUUUUGGGCUUUUUGUUGGUUGGUUGGUUGGUUGGUUGGUUUUGUUGUUGUUGUUGUUGUUAAGUUUUUUUUGAGACAGGGUUUCUCUG
Mesocricetus auratus (golden hamster) is the source of this 1419-nucleotide long non-coding RNA. RefSeq lists it as uncharacterized. NCBI's taxonomy places the organism in Eukaryota, Metazoa, Chordata, Mammalia, Rodentia, Cricetidae. The record is from RefSeq and is a predicted model, not a curated record. The transcript is spliced from 3 exons.